Molecule: long non-coding RNA, 1688 nt
Filed under: Olea europaea subsp. europaea
Lineage: Eukaryota; Viridiplantae; Streptophyta; Magnoliopsida; Lamiales; Oleaceae
Rfam family: MIR159 microRNA precursor family (bases 516-711)
Source: RNAcentral
CAAAAUUGUGCAGUGUGCAAUGCUGUUUGUGGGCAUCCUAUGGUGACAAGCGCAUGUGAUUUCUAUCACGAAGCCUGAAGGAAUCUAAUCUAUUAACCUAGCUAGCUAUAUAGAGAGACGCUUCCCAAGACUAUGGAUACAAGAAAACAGCCGUUGCCAACGCACCCCACCUACCCCCACGCACUAAGUCUUAUCCUCCUCCCUUUAUAUUCAGUCCACCCACUCGUUUAUCAUCUGCAUAUGGGUUUCUUUUCUUCUGUGGUAGGUUUUGCUGUUUUCUUGGUUGUUCGUCUUUUAUUCAUGAAUUCUUGCAUAUGAUAUAACUCUCGGGUCCUUUUUGACUUCAGAGCUAGAUUCCUGUUCAUGGAUCUGCAAAUUCUUGGGUUUUUUCUUCUUAAAUGCUUUCUUUCACUUAGAUUAGAUCUGGAUCUUCCAUGUGAAGAUCAUAUCAGAUAAGCGAUUUUCUUGGGGGGUGUGGAUGGUUUUUAGGGUUGACUUGAAUAUAUUUAGAUUAGGGUUUGUUUGUAGAGCUCCUUGAAGUCCAAAAGAGGUUCUUUCGGGGAAAAUUGAGCUGCUAAUCCAUGGAUCCCUCAACCCUAUCCAUAUCUAUAGAUCCAUAUUGGAUAGGUUUGUGGGUUGCAUGUAUCAGGAGCCUGCAUUUCUCAAGUUGGAUCCUUCUUUGGAUUGAAGGGAGCUCUAUACUUAUCCCUAUAUCCAUUUUUGUCUUUAUUUUUUCAUCAGUUCUAUUUUCUUAUAGUUUCUGUUUCUUUUCAGAUCUAAUUAAUGUGAUAAAAAAUCCUAAGUUUGAUCUGUUUAAACGUUUCUCUUACAUAGAAACUGAUCAAUCCCUGACCCUGAUAACUAGAUUGGAUCUUUCUCUAGAUUUACCCUUUUCCGUUUUUGGUUACUGAAGAAAGUCAAAUAUGCAUUUGUUUCCCUCACAUAGUCCCUUGUGUGCAUAUCAGUAUAUAGGUUAAAGCUCACCCCUUAAUGUAUCUGCAGAUUUUGGGUUUUUUCUUGCAACAUUUUUCAGGUGCUGAUAGAUUCUUGCUGAAAACAGAUGAGAAGGAAGCCAGAUUGCUCCUUUUUGGGUUCAAGAAAGGAAAUAUAUCUUAGGGUUUAUUUCAAAGAUCAAACAAUAUAUUUCAUUUUUACAGUUACAUUUUGUUUGGAUUCUUUCCCAUUUGUUAGUCUUCAAUCAAUGGUGUAAUAAAUCCAAGAAAAGCUGUUUUGACAGCAAGUACUGGUAUAUACACAGUAAAUGUAAAUUUUGGUAUAUUGGAAAUUUUGCAACAUUUUUCAGGUGCUGAUAGAUUCUUGCUGAAAACAGAUGAGAAGGAAGCCAGAUUGCUCCUUUUUGGGUUCAAGAAAGGAAAUAUAUCUUAGGGUUUAUUUCAAAGAUCAAACAAUAUAUUUCAUUUUUACAGUUACAUUUUGUUUGGAUUCUUUCCCAUUUGUUAGUCUUCAAUCAAUGGUGUAAUAAAUCCAAGAAAAGCUGUUUUGACAGCAAGUACUGGUAUAUACACAGUAAAUGUAAAUUUUGGUAUAUUGGAAAUUUAUAUAUAUAUAAAUAAAAAUUAUGUCUGAACACAAUAAACGUGGUUUAUGAAUCCUAGUUUUUGGGAAUGGGAAGUGAGAAAAUAUAACAUGCAUUUUGAUUCUUGGAAAUAAAAAAUUGUAACAUUUCA